Molecule: ribosomal RNA, 374 nt
Filed under: uncultured bacterium
Lineage: Bacteria
Description: bacterial SSU rRNA
Rfam family: Bacterial small subunit ribosomal RNA
Source: RNAcentral
UAAUACGGAGGAUGCAAGCGUUAUCCGGAUUUAUUGGGUUUAAAAGGGUGCGUAGGCGGAGAAUUAAGUCAGUGGUGAAAUCUUACCGCUUAACGGUAAAAUUGCCAUUGAUACUGAUUCCCUUGAGUACAGUUGAGGUGGGUGGAAUGUGUAAUGUAGCGGUGAAAUGCUUAGAUAUUACACAGAACACCGAUUGCGAAGGCAGCUCACUAAACUGUUACUGACGCUGAGGCACGAAAGCGUGGGGAGCGAACAGGAUUAGAUACCCUGGUAGUCCGCGCUGUAAACGAUGAUCACUCGUUGUUGGCGAUAUAUUGUCAGCGACUAAGCAAAAGCAUUAAGUGAUCCACCUGGGGAGUACGGCCGCAAGGUUG